UUUUUUUUUUUUUUUUCAGUCUUUCACUGAGCCUGGGACUUUUUUUGUGCUGGGAGAGGGAGGAAAUAAUUUCAGUAAUAACUUGUUUUGUUUUGUUUUUCCCUCCAAAAUAUAUUUCAAGGCUUUUCUCAGCUAGUUGAGUUAAUGCACAAUAAAAAGAAACACAAAACUGAAAUGGAAGACUUGACUUAACUUUUUCUUCAUUGAAAGAUUAUUAACCACAGCACUGAGGGAUGAUCUCAGAGAAACAGGUCUAGUAAUGUAAGUCAAAGACAGGAGAGAAAUAACAAUAAGCUGCUUCUAUUUAUUGUAUUAAUUCCCAUUCCCAUGAGAAAGUUACGGUUGAAACUAGAAUAGAUUCAUUUUUCUCUGCAGAAUUAUUUCUAAGACAACUUUGAAUAGAAUUAUUUUACCACAAAUAUUUAGAAAUACUUUUUAAUUGUAAUGUUUAUUUAAUGAUGUUAAUUUAUUCUUUUUCCACAAAUGUCCUUUCCACAUUGAUAGAUAAAUUAUAUUUUUAGGGCUGAUUCAGUCUCUCUUUCAUCACUUUCAGUAUGGUAUAACUACACUUUCAGGGAAUUGCACCAGGUCUACACCAGUUUGAACAUAGAGCUGAUCAGCAGGAUACAGUUUUGAUUGUUUAUUUGGGAAAACACUUUUAAAGAGAAAUAAAAAUUUCAAAGUCCUAUUAGAAAACUAAAAUUUACAAAGAAUGCCAGUCUGUUUUCCUCCCCCUAUGGAGGAAAUCAGUUACAAUUCUACAGCUCCACAUAUGCAUCACAUACAGUGUUGAAUGCUUGACUACUAGGCUUUACACAUUGCUGAUGUUCCAGUCAUGAAGCGCUGUACAUCAGAUUUGAUCUGUCCUAUCCAGGAAAGUAUUUCUUUUUCAUUUGCGUAUUAGGUAUACCAUAGACAAGAAUGGAUUUUGAAAGGAGCAUCGUACCUAGGCAUAAAUCACUUCAUACAGUAGAUGAGGAAUUAAAUACAUUCAUCAUUAAUCUUCUUUUUCAUGCAGUUUAAAAGAACACUUUGGUCAGGUUGCCUGUAAAUUAGGUGAGUUUAUUUUCUAGAAGUUAAAAUUUUCAUCUUAAUUUUGCCCCCAACAUAUUCUUCUGAAAGAAUAUAAAGUAUUUGUGAACAUUUUCAACUAUUUUUCUUUUGUAGAAAAUUUUCUUUCUGUUUGUUUCAGGGUUAAAAGCUUCUACUGAGACAGUAUGGCUGAAUAGUUUUGUGAUUUUAAUGGAAAAAUUCUUAAGAUUAUUUAGGAAAUAACAUUGCAUAUCAAAAUCUCUCAAGACACCAAAUUUCUACUAAAUUUCUUUCUGUUUUUUUUACCUUGGUGUAACUUAGCAGAAUAUCAUGAGAUUUAAUAAACAUGACCCCGCACUUGAUUCAGACUCAUAGGAUUUUUUCAAGUUUUAUUAAUGUUGAGUGAUGUAAAGGUUGUAUUACAAAGUUCAGGUUCUUUUGCUGUACCAGUGUGUGAGAUUCCUUCCUCUUAACUGAAAAAUAUUCUACAUUACAGAAAAGCUUGCAUUGUUUUCUGCAAGCAAUUUCACUAUUUAUGUUUAACUGAAAUUGUUUGAUAUUUAAUGGAGUUAAAAAAAACGAAAAUUCUAACAGAUAUUGGUGACUUUUAUUAAAUAAAGCUUGCAUUAGAGUUAUUCAGGAGAGACUACCAUUGAAAAUAUUCCUGGAGAAGUGGAAACCUAAACCUGCACAUGGAUGAGGGUGAUCCAUUCAUCGGCUUAUGGACAAGUUUAUGAUUACUCAGUGGAGUCACAAAUCCAUAAAUCUACUCAGUGCCCCUGCACAUGAUGUGCUCUCAAUGGAGAAGAGGUUGGGCAGCAGUUGCUGGGGAAGAUGAAUGGUGCUUCAAGAGGACUGUCUGAGCAGUUGGUGGCAACUUCUCAUGCUCCUCUCCUGGACAGGAUUCUCACUUUGGUACAGAGCACUUCAACGUGUGAUCUCCUUGACUCUCUCUGGGAUGAACUACUCUGGCACGCUGGCUGAUUACUUAAGAAAAAUUGAAGAAGAAACAAUAUCAGCCUCCUGCAAGUCUGUGGUCAGGCAGCCCACCAGGCAGAGGAAGUCCUAUGGGUCUUCAUGUUUAAUUCUUAAGAAAAAGUCAUCACCAUCCUGUCUCUGGAGGCUACAAAAGCAGCUAAAAACUCUAGACAGUGGAAGCAAGACCCGCCACUUGUUGUUGCUGGAAAGGAUUUUCUCUGUCUACAUUUCUGGUCACUCCACAGUUCCUGCACAUUUUGGUCCCAGAUCGAGAACUGUUACAUUACAUGUCAUUAUAUGUCAUUAUAUGGGAACUAAGAAAUGUAAUUAAAUAUAAAUAAGAAAAUAUUUUUCCAUCCAGAAUUUGCAAUUGAGUUGUAUAUUCUGUAACAAGAAAAGCAUAGACAGUGUACAUGUGGGAAAAAUAAGAACAGAUCAAGACAAA
This is a long non-coding RNA of Strigops habroptila (Kakapo), 2455 nucleotides long. The record is from Ensembl. NCBI's taxonomy places the organism in Eukaryota, Metazoa, Chordata, Aves, Psittaciformes, Psittacidae.